This 64-nucleotide small nuclear RNA is filed under the name Sorex araneus (European shrew). Lineage: Eukaryota; Metazoa; Chordata; Mammalia; Eulipotyphla; Soricidae. The record is from RNAcentral.
GUACUAUUGCAGCACAUAUAAUAAAUUGGAACGAUACAGAGAAGAUUAGCAUGGUUCCUGUGCA